GAACGCUGGCGGCAUGCCUAACACAUGCAAGUCGAACGAGACCUUCGGGUCUAGUGGCGCACGGGUGCGUAACGCGUGGGAACCUGCCCUUAGGUUCGGAAUAACUCCCCGAAAGGGGUGCUAAUACCGGAUAAUGUCUUCGGACCAAAGAUUUAUCGCCUUUGGAUGGGCCCGCGUUGGAUUAGCUAGUUGGUAGGGUAAAAGCCUACCAAGGCGACGAUCCAUAGCUGGUCUGAGAGGAUGAUCAGCCACACUGGGACUGAGACACGGCCCAGACUCCUACGGGAGGCAGCAGUGGGGAAUAUUGGACAAUGGGCGAAAGCCUGAUCCAGCAAUGCCGCGUGAGUGAUGAAGGCCUUAGGGUUGUAAAGCUCUUUUACCCGGGAUGAUAAUGACAGUACCGGGAGAAUAAGCGCCGGCUAACUCCGUG
This 430-nucleotide ribosomal RNA is filed under the name uncultured bacterium. Its description in RNAcentral is "partial 16S ribosomal RNA". It matches the Rfam family "Bacterial small subunit ribosomal RNA", at positions 31 to 507 of the family's 1533-position model. The record is from RNAcentral.